AACGAACGCUGGCGGCAUGCCUAACACAUGCAAGUCGAACGAUACCUUCGGGUCUAGUGGCGCACGGGUGCGUAACGCGUGGGAACCUUCCCUUAGGUUCGGAAUAACUCCCCGAAAGGGGUGCUAAUACCGGAUAAUUUCUUCGGACCAAAGAUUUAUCGCCUUUGGAUGGGCCCGCGUUGGAUUAGCUAGUUGGUAGGGUAAAAGCCUACCAAGGCGAAGAUCCAUAGCUGGUCUGAGAGGAUGAUCAGCCACACUGGGACUGAGACACGGCCCAGACUCCUACGGGAGGAAGCAGUGGGGAAUAUUGGACAAUGGGCGAAAGAAUGAUCCAGCAAUGCCGCGUGAGUGAUGAAGGACUUAGGGUUGUAAAGCUCUUUUACCCGGGAUGAUAAUGACAGUACCGGGAGAAUAAGCGCCGGCUAACUCCGUG
RNAcentral lists this ribosomal RNA (433 nucleotides) under uncultured bacterium. RNAcentral describes it as "partial 16S ribosomal RNA". It matches the Rfam family "Bacterial small subunit ribosomal RNA", at positions 29 to 507 of the family's 1533-position model. The record is from RNAcentral.